RNAcentral lists this ribosomal RNA (249 nucleotides) under uncultured Gardnerella sp. RNAcentral's name for it is "partial 16S ribosomal RNA". It matches the Rfam family "Bacterial small subunit ribosomal RNA", at positions 107 to 354 of the family's 1533-position model. The record is from RNAcentral. Lineage: Bacteria; Bacillati; Actinomycetota; Actinomycetes; Bifidobacteriales; Bifidobacteriaceae.
UAGAGUAAUGCGUGACCAACCUGCCCCAUGCUCCAGAAUAGCUCUUGGAAACGGGUGGUAAUGCUGGAUGCUCCAACUUGACGCAUGUCUUGUUGGGAAAGUGUUUAGUGGCAUGGGAUGGGGUCGCGUCCUAUCAGCUUGUAGGCGGGGUAAUGGCCCACCUAGGCUUCGACGGGUAGCCGGCCUGAGAGGGCGGACGGCCACAUUGGGACUGAGAUACGGCCCAGACUCCUACGGGAGGCAGCAGAU